GCGGGGGUGGCGGAACUGGUAGACGCGUACGUUUGAGGGGCGUAUGAUUUCGGUCGUGUGGGUUCGAGUCCCAUCCCCCGCACCA
Molecule: transfer RNA, 85 nt
Filed under: bacterium
Lineage: Bacteria
Description: tRNA-Leu
Rfam family: tRNA
About the family: Transfer RNA (tRNA) molecules are approximately 80 nucleotides in length. Their secondary structure includes four short double-helical elements and three loops (D, anti-codon, and T loops).
Source: RNAcentral